This 1853-nucleotide long non-coding RNA is filed under the name Homo sapiens (human). RNAcentral describes it as "PREDICTED lncRNA (TCONS_00029332)". Lineage: Eukaryota; Metazoa; Chordata; Mammalia; Primates; Hominidae. The record is from RNAcentral.
UGGGGAGAGUCAAGAGGGGAAGGGAAGCGGGAGUCGGGGUGCGAGCCUGCCCUUUCCCCCGCCGAGGGCCUGUGCGGGGCGCGGCGGCCGCGCCAACUCCGGCGUCGGGAACACUCACCGCAGGACGCUUUGCCCUCCUUGGAAUCGCAGUAGCCGCAGUGGUAGCCGGCCCUGAGGCCCUUGUAUUCCACCACCGACGCCAUGGCCGCCGCGAGGGUCCGCUCGGGCCGACCACGCCUCUUGGCGCCCGGGGCCGACCUCGGCGAAGCGCUGGGGCCCGCGGCGGGAGGGGUGGAGAGCGAAGCCUGGCGCGGGGACCCGUGGGCGGGGAUGGUGGUCGUGUCCCCAAGCCCUGCGUUUGGGCCGGUGCUUCCCACAGCUGUGCGUUAUCAGCCCCAUUUCACAGUUUGCUAAAGCAGAGGCGUACUACUAUCAAUAGCAUCAAGAAAUGAUGAUGGAAGAAGCAUGGAAAUACAAUAUGGUUCCAAAAUGGGAAACUAAAAUAGAGGAAGAGGAAAAGAGAUCACAACGUGAGAAAACAGAAGAUACUAAAAAAUGGGACUAUCUAGUGCCUGAGAGGGAACUGAGUCUUACAAAGAAACAUAUACCAGGCUGAACAAACCAGAGGCCUCAGAGACCACAAACACCGACUGCUCCCUCAAAGAAUUCCCAGUGAAAUACUUUCCCCUAAAAUACUAACACGGGAAAAGGAUGGAAAGCAUGAAAAUAUCCAGAAAACACACAAAACUGAAACCAGUAAGCACAAGGUGGCAUGGACAAAGGAACAGAUGAAGGGACACCAAGACCGAAUGAUCUGAGGGAGAGAACUCAAAGCAAAGACACGCUCAGAAGCGCUCCAGCCCCGUUCCAUCUUUCCUAAAAUCUCAAGUGGAAAAAGAGAAGGUGAAAGAGUUUGAAUGGGUCACAGCUUAUCCAAUUUUGCAACCUUACCAGAAAGCACUUAGGAAAGUGAUGAUUCUGAUGGAGAAAUAAGAAAAAAGAGAGUAUAAAAUUAAGAAACCACUCUGAAGGGAGCUCUUGAGUAUGCCACCAUUUUUGAGAAGUCAACUAGAAAAAAAUAAGGUUUAAAUUAUUUUAUAUUUUUUAGACUAGCAUACUUUUAAUCAUUAAUGCAAUAAAACAUAUACUCCCCUGGUUUUUUUAAGUGCAUCAAACUGGCAAAAAUUAAAAAAGCCACAAGCACAGUAUUUCCAAGUGUUUCAGCUGGCUGUGUGACAACUCUAAAACUUAGUGACUUAAAGCAACCACCACUUUAUUAUAUCUCGCAGUUCUAUGUCAGGAAAUCAGACAGAGCUCAACUGGACAUUUCUGUCCCAUGAGGUACCACCAGAGCUGCCUGGGGAUAUUCAGGUGAUGACUGGGCUCAUCUGGAGGGUCCAAGAUGGCUUCCCCACAUGCCCUUGGCAGGGAAGGCUAGAAAGCUGGGCCUCCCUGGCCCAUCUCUCAUUUGCAGCUCUCCAUGUGGUUUCAGUGCCACGUGGUAGUUGGACUUAUUAUUCGGUGACUCACGACUCCACGAAUGUGUAUUCCAAGAGGCCUGUUGGAAGCUAGAAGGCUUCUUAUGACUUAGCCUCACAAGUCCCAGAACAUCACUUCUGUAUUCUACUGGUCACAUAAGUCACCAAGACCAGCUUAAAUCCAAGGAAAGGGAAAGCGGACUCCUAUCAAAAAAACUUUGGGCUGGGCAUGGUGGCUCCCACCUAUAAUCCCAGCACUUUGAGAGGCUGAGGCAGGCGUUAUCACUUGAGGUCAGGAGUUCAAGACCAGCCUGGCCAACAAGGUGAAACCCCAUCUCUACUAAAAAUACAAAAAAAAGUAAGACGGGUGUGGUG